UUUUCCAAGGCUGCACAUUGUUUUGGCCUCCAUUAUUGGGCACUCUCUUUCUGUUACUCACAAUAUGCAGCAGAGCCCUCCCCUUUGCUAACUGACUGUCAAUAACCACAAGGUCCAUAACAGAAGAAAUGUCAAUAUGUUAAUAGUUCAUCACAGUGAUUUUAGCCUUAUUGAAGUCGAUGAAAAUGCACAAUAUCUUCCAUUCCCUUAUGGUCUUACUGCAAUUCAACUAAAAACAUGUUACUGAUGCAUAAAAGUAAUCCCAUUGUGCCACAUCACCAUAGUAAAUCUAAUGGAGCAUCUAUCGUAACCCAAACAAUAGUUGUAGGCCUCCUUGAUCUUCUUGGUGAACUCCACCACCACUAUUUGCCUGCCUUCAUUGCCAUUCCCAAACACCAACUCUCAAUGUCUUGAUGUCAGUCAUGGGGACAAGUCCCCUAUCUUCCGAUUUGAUCUUUGUUGUGUCACUGACAAUGAAUAACAAAUUGAUUUUGUAUUCAUUGCAUUACUUUCAAAAGAUUGGAACAAACCACUUAUAAUUGCAACUUUCUUUGUUGGGGUUUUUAAUAAAGAUGGUGAGGUGGGUGGUGUGAUCUGGAGGCAAUGCAAAGGUUGAAUUGGGAGGUUUGGACAAUGCAGAGGGAGAAUCAUCAUAACAAUGAUCAUGUCAUUUCAAAACCCUGCACUGUCAACUAACCCAUAAAACUUCUAGAAUCUUUUCCCUCAAUUCUACCCCCAUCUCCUUGUUUGUAUUCAUUCAUCACAACCAAACCCAAUCUUCAUUGGUUUUCUACAUUCUUUCAAGUAGAAGAAGAAGAAACUCAUAUAUCUCAUGAAGGUAUAUUUAGUUGACUUGUGAUUGUCAAAAGUAUCCUGUUAUGAAACAUCAAUUAUAUGUGAAAGCUUUAAUGCCUAAGACAUUCUGUUCUUACUUUCUCUUUGUUAUGAAGGUAAUGCUUCAGUACUACAUUGAACGGCAAUGCUUAUUGAAGUGUACCUGUCAGAUUAUCAUGCAUACAUGGAAGUCCAUUAUGCAGCUGGUUUAAUUCCAUUUCACACUUGACAAUCCAGUAGUUCCAAUUGGUGGGAUAGAAACAAUCUUGGUAAUCAAGGUUUCUGCAGAGUCAGCUAACCAGUUUGGGGAACUGGUGGCUGAUCCAGUUACCAAUGAACUGUUGCAUUACACCGGGAAACCUGAUACUUUUGUAUGUACAAGAUCACAGAUUCAACUACUUUUUGUCUUUUGACAUUGCUUACUCAUGACACCGUUGGUAUAUGUCUAAUGUCUUCUUUCCGUUUUGUCUGAAAUUGUAUGCGCUGCAUGUAAGUGAUCGAAUAAAUUGCGGUGUUUAUAUAUUUACACCAGAUAUUUUUAAUGCAAUUCAAGGUGUUUCCACACAACGGAAAGAUAGAGGAACAAUCAUUAGCUAAUGUGAAUAAUAUGAUGCAAAUGAAGACAAAACAUCGAUGUGGAUCAAAAUCAAUCCCGGUCAGGGUAUACAGCUCGAUUUGAGAUUAGAUAUGGAUAUGUUUGGUAAUCUGGAGAGCAGAAGCUAGCUCAUUUUGUGUUUUUCUUCAUUUUACCUUACAUGUAUUUUGGUUACAUUGUAAAUUUUAUAUUUUUGUGGGUAUUACAGGACAUGUUUGGUCAUCCGCACUUGAUAUUAUAUUUUUGUAAAUAUUAGUAGACAUGUUUUUUGUGGAUAUUAAGAGACGUGUUUGGUAAUC
Non-coding RNA from Camellia sinensis, 1728 nucleotides. The record is from RefSeq and is a predicted model, not a curated record. Lineage: Eukaryota; Viridiplantae; Streptophyta; Magnoliopsida; Ericales; Theaceae.